UUAAAUUGAAGAGUUUGAUCAUGGCUCAGAUUGAACGCUGGCGGCAGGCCUAACACAUGCAAGUCGAACGGUAACAGGAAGAAGCUUGCUUCUUUGCUGACGAGUGGCGGACGGGUGAGUAAUGUCUGGGAAACUGCCUGAUGGAGGGGGAUAACUACUGGAAACGGUAGCUAAUACCGCAUAACGUCGCAAGACCAAAGAGGGGGACCUUCGGGCCUCUUGCCAUCGGAUGUGCCCAGAUGGGAUUAGCUAGUAGGUGGGGUAACGGCUCACCUAGGCGACGAUCCCUAGCUGGUCUGAGAGGAUGACCAGCCACACUGGAACUGAGACACGGUCCAGACUCCUACGGGAGGCAGCA
Molecule: ribosomal RNA, 358 nt
Filed under: Escherichia coli
Lineage: Bacteria; Pseudomonadati; Pseudomonadota; Gammaproteobacteria; Enterobacterales; Enterobacteriaceae
Description: bacterial SSU rRNA
Rfam family: Bacterial small subunit ribosomal RNA
Source: RNAcentral